UUUUAAGAGCCAGGCAUGGUGGUGUACACCCAUAAGUCCCAGCUACUCAGGGGGCUUAGGUGAGAGGAUCACUGAGGCACAGGAGUUGCGCUAUGACCAUCCCUGUGAAUAGCCCCUGCACUCCAGCCUGGGCAACAUCAUAGUGGGACCCCAGUUCAAAAAAAAAACAAAAACAAAAAAACAAAAAAAAGGAGGAAGAAGACGACAACCCAGGGAGAAAAAUCGUAUUGCAGAGGUCAAGGAUGCUUCACAUAAACUGUUUUAUGUGAAAGAAAGGAUUAUGAAUUCCUCUCUCCCUCAG
Molecule: non-coding RNA, 301 nt
Organism: Microcebus murinus (gray mouse lemur)
Lineage: Eukaryota; Metazoa; Chordata; Mammalia; Primates; Cheirogaleidae
Source: RefSeq, a predicted model, not a curated record